This is a long non-coding RNA of Gadus macrocephalus (Pacific cod), 601 nucleotides long. RefSeq lists it as uncharacterized. Lineage: Eukaryota; Metazoa; Chordata; Actinopteri; Gadiformes; Gadidae. The record is from RefSeq and is a predicted model, not a curated record. The transcript is spliced from 2 exons.
AUCAGCUGAGGCAGAACGGGUGAACGCAACGUGACGGGUCUGGGCAUUGCACCUCCACAAGCCCUACGCUAAUCUCGUUUUAAUAUAUCAGGGAAAGAUGUCUUUGUGAUGAAACAAAUGAACCGAGUGUGUUCAAAAUAUCCUCUCCACCAAGAGAAGGUGCACUAACACCAAGAAGCCAGUGGCUCCGUCAUGCUACCCUAAACAACAAUACCCAGUAGACGUAGGUUCAGAACCACAAUACAGUCCUGGAUGGAGUGUAAAGGAUGAGGUAUAUACAGGAUGAUCUGUAUCAGAGUGUAAAGGAUGAGGUAUGUACAGGAGUGUAAAGGAUGCUGCUAUGUGCUUCUUUACUCAAAUCUUCCUUUUUCGUGGUUAGCUCACCCCUGAAAACCUUCGUUCGCACUCUGUUACAACGCGCAUUUGGAAGAAAAACCUUGAACGACCACAGUACGACCUAUGGUAGAGAAAACUAAUGACACACACACACACACACACACACACACACACACACACACACACACACACACACACACACACACACACACACACACACACACACACACACACACACACACACACACACACACACACACACUCC